CCCCUAUAUCUCAACAUGUAUAGCCAGUCCCCAAUAUCUCAACAUGUACAGUCCCCCACAUCUCAACAUGUACAGUCAGUCCCCUAUAUCUCAACAUGUACAUCCCCCACAUCUCAACAUGUACAGUCAGUCCCCCACAUCUCAGCAUGUACAGUCAGUCCCCCACAUCUCAACAUGUACAGUCAAUCCCCUACAUCUCAACAUGUACAGUCAGUCCCCCACAUCUCAACAUGUAUAGUCAGUCCCCUACAUCUCAACAUGUAUAGUCAGUCCCCUAUAUCUCAACAUGUAUAGUCAGUCCCCUAUAUCUCAACAUGUACAGUCCCCCACAUCUCAACAUGUAUAGUCAGUCCCCUAUAUCUCAACAUGUAUAGUCAGUCCCCUAUAUCUCAACAUGUAUAGUCAGUCCCCUAUAUCUCAACAUGUAUAGUCAGUCCCAUAUAUAUCAACAUGUAUAGUCAGUCCC
Oncorhynchus tshawytscha (Chinook salmon) is the source of this 466-nucleotide long non-coding RNA. NCBI's taxonomy places the organism in Eukaryota, Metazoa, Chordata, Actinopteri, Salmoniformes, Salmonidae. The record is from Ensembl.